Molecule: long non-coding RNA, 330 nt
Filed under: Phoenix dactylifera (date palm)
Lineage: Eukaryota; Viridiplantae; Streptophyta; Magnoliopsida; Arecales; Arecaceae
Description: long non-coding RNA (PDAC_LNC002503)
Source: RNAcentral
AAGAAAAGUUUUCAUUCUAUUCCCUUCUCCUACUGUAAUGGUAGAUUCCAUGCCAAGUCUCACCCCACCUUGUCUAAUCUUUGGCAUAUUCUCCUCAACUACUCCAUUCAUGAAGCGAAAAUCUGCAUCGGUCGGUAUAAAAUCCUUGCUUAGCAAUUCUACGCCUUGUGAAAUCCUUGAGGCACAUAAGCAGUGAUGUGGCCUAAAUGUUGAUGAGACUCUAGUUCACAAAUGUGAUCUUCGGACUUUACAGGAUGACGGUUACAAACAUUUUCAAAGUCAACAUCAGCAUCUACAAAAAUUUAAGAAUUUGAAGCAAAUUGAACAAAC